Molecule: ribosomal RNA, 448 nt
Filed under: uncultured bacterium
Lineage: Bacteria
Description: bacterial SSU rRNA
Rfam family: Bacterial small subunit ribosomal RNA
Source: RNAcentral
CGAACGGUAAGUUGAGUAGCAAUACUUAGCCAAGAGUGUCGUACGGGUGCGUAACACGUAUGCAACCUACCCUAUACAGGAGGAUAGCCUAGGGAAACCUGGAUUAACCCUUCAUAGUAUUAUUGGAUGGCAUCAUUUGAUAAUUAAAACUGAGGUGGUAUAGGAUGGGCAUGCGUCUGAUUAGUUAGUUGGCGGGGUAAUGGCCCACCAAGACGAUGAUCAGUAGGGGUUCUGAGAGGAAGAUCCCCCACACUGGCACUGAGAUACGGGCCAGACUCCUACGGGAGGCAGCAGUAGGGAAUAUUGGUCAAUGGAUGCAAGUCUGGACCAGCCAUGCCGCGUGCAGGAAGAAGGCCUUCUGGGUUGUAAACUGCUUUUGCCAGGGGAUAAAAUUUCCAUGCGUGGAAAACUGAAGGUACCUGGUGAAUAAGCCACGGCUAACUACGUG